CUGAAGUAUGGGUUAUGAGAGAACUGGAAAUGCUCUGUAGGACUUAAAUUUCACGACAGACUACAGGUGCAUCGUCCCUUUUUAGCUUUCAAUUGUCUGGCAUAAGAAUGAAGAAAUCUGAUUCAGACCAGCUGAAGCAAAGCAUUUUCUGCAGCCUUGUAAACACACAGGAAUGACUUUAGAGAAGCUUUACCAGUACUGGUCUCAGCACUGAGUAAGGUGCUCCAUGAAGAAAUUCCAUUGAGACAUCCUCAUUUUCAUCCAGCCACUGAAUGACAAAUGGUUCAAACCACCUGAAAAUUAAAAGCAAUUUUGUAAAGUAGAUAGAUUUCAUAAAGAUCCCAAGAGGAGAGACGACAUACUACCCAGCAGUUUGGAACCUCGUGUUUUCAUGUCUAUUCUUAUUGCUAAAAAAUUCUAAUAACCCUGGGACAAUUUUUGUCACCAAAAUUCUGUAGGUACCAAAAGGCUUUUCAGGCUACAGCUUCACAAUACUCUUCCUGGUAUACCCUGGUGAUGUAAAUUAGCAGUAGCCAAUUCUCUACCAGUGAAGCAUGGCAGGUAUGUAUCUUCUAUCAAUACUGGCUCUUUGGUAACAUUUAUUUUUUAUUUGAAUAUGAAAUAACUUGUAUAUAACUUUGUUUUAGUAAAAAUCAUCUGUGUUUUAUUUUUCUUUAGUUUAUGUUAGAAAAAUUUAAAGUAAUAACAGGCCUCAAACCAUCUCAGCAAACCAGCAGACUGGCAGAAGAUUAAGGAUAGCUCAUAUAAAAGGACAGGACUGAAUAUAUUUAUUGCAGGGAGACAGGUGAAAAGAAAACCAGCAGCUGAGUAUAAACCUGAUCCAGUAAGAAUUACUUCAGUAGUAUAUCCCAUUAGCAUUGUAUCUUUAUCCAAAUUUGACUGUAAAACAAAUGCAGGGACCUGUAACUAAUAGUUCUGCUGUUCCCACAUCUCAUACCUUCCUCAGACAUUUCCUGACCAAAGCAUUUUGUCCUCUCUGAAGAUGUGCAGUUACAACAACUGUAGAAAUCCAUGAAAUAGCUAAUUGCACAUUUAACACCUGGACUAUUUCACUUGAUUGAAUGAAGAAUUAAAGAGAAGGAAGCAUAAAAAGUAGUUGCCAGUGCUACACACCUUGAGAUCUUGCACAAACCCAAGCACAAAUAUUUGACCAAAAUAAACCUUGCACGAAGCCCAGACUCAUGGAAGCCUUCCCGAAACACCACUUACAGAGAGUAUUCAGGCACUGCAUCCUUGAAAGCAGAGAGUUCUCGCACAUAUUCAUUAUAAAACCAUUUCACUUUGAAGUGCAAAUUCAUAUAAUCUGUGCUUUUGCAUAAUCGCUGCUUUUCAUGUUCUGUAAUAGAAGGAGUGGAAAUAAAAGCACUUAAUAGUGUUCUAACAGUAAAUAACUUUCUUGUGCCUCAGUGCACUGGUGACACAAUAAUACAGGACUUGCAUUUUAAAGCAUAAUUGGUUUGAUUUUUCUAGAGGUAGUAGUACCCACAGUUUCAAUUUUCAGGAUCUGAGUACCCUUAGGAAAAACAAAAACCAAAGACCAAACCACAAAUUAGGCUUCUCAUGUCUCUUCACUGCAGUGAGAAAAAAACACAAAUUUGCUGACUUCCCAUUCUUUAGAUUCUUCUUUGGCUGUUAGAAAAUGAUUAAGAAGCUUUGGAGUGUCAAGCUAGAGAAGACAACCAUAGUUGUGUAGUAGCCAGAGGAAGUAACAGCUAUAAAUGCCAGUCCCACAUGAAUCUGUGAAACCUACAUUCAUGAGAGCUAAGAAAAAGAAAGACGAGCCAACUCCACAGCUCUACAGUCCUCUGACUUAGGAAAGAUGGUUAAAUAAAGUGUUUUUGAAAUUUUUCAAAUGGACUUCACCUUCUCAGUGUCCUCCUGUUUGCCACAUACUGAAUAUGCAGAUGGCGGUGGGUGGCAGGAGUCAUAGAGCCACCUGUAAUCACUGUCUGCAUUUUUAAAGUCUGAUUUCAUUUGUUUGGAGCAAAUGUCCAUCUUUCUUCCAGGAUUUCAAUCCUUGUUUUAGCUUUUACACUAGGCUCUGCAUUGUUCACUCAGCCACUGCAGGCCUGGACAGGCUCCAUUCCUUCUCUCCAUUAGCUAACAGGCACUUUAUCCUUGCUCAAAUCUUUCAUUUCCUUCUCACACAGCAUGAAACCAGGGAUCCACAAGUUUUGGGCAGAAUAAUCAUACCUUUGCUUACUGCUCACAGCUUCCUAAAAUCUCCACAGAUGUCAUCUGUUUGAGGUGUCACGUCACUCGCACAUUCUUCCCUAUGUGAAAGGGUAAUUUCUUUUCCCAGCUCCCUUAAAAAAUGACCUAAUACAGGUGCUCAGCCUGAAUGAUGUUCUUGUGUAAAUAGCAUGUAUUAAGAACUUACCACUUUCAAACCUCCUUUUUGCUUCUUACUUCUGGUUGCUCUGCAACACAGCAUUACACAAAUCUCCUGCAUUUGGAUGUGAACCUAAUUUUCUUUAACAGUAGGAGCAUCCCAUCCUCUGUCAUACACUUGAAUGUACCACUGGAUUCUCUGUCAGUGAAAAUGCACUAUGAACUACACAUCCUGUGUUUUUCAGAUCUAGCCAGGUACAUCAGAAGGAAAUGUUUAGUUUUAUUAUUAUGCCAAAUCAGCACUCCAGUAGUACACCACGCUAUCCAACAAGUGUUUCAGAAGCGUGCUAUUAUGCAGUGAGUUACUAGGUUUUGUGCAAAUCAGCUUAUGAAGAGCCCCUGUGGGCUUUUAUUGCCUUUUUAGCAUUGUAGUAGCAUUUUCACCUUCACUGCCUUUCCAUCACACUCAAGAAAAAAAUCACUAAAUAAGUUUCUGUCUAAAUAGUGCAUUUAUUCAUUCUUCAUGCUACUUGAAAGUACUACAAAUUCUCCCCAGCAACGUAUCAUUGUUACUAGCAUUAAACAGAACCAGAGAGAGAAAGAUGUUGCCUUCUCUCACAGUUCUGAGGAAUCUCUUUUUUUAGGCAGCAGUUUUUUCACAAACUAUUAUAGAAAGCUAAAUGACAAAAAAUUUGCUCUAAAAAAGGUAUUCUUACAAGGUAGACCAGUCUUUCACUGAGAACAAUUAUGUUAUUGCUAUCAAAUUCACUGCACAUCUGCUGCUUAAGUCUUUGUUAAAAAUCUGUCUUAUAUUGCAUCCCAAAAGAGUGGAAUUUCUGAAAUGAAUGCACAUUUUUUCAUUCAAGCAUUGCAUAAACGGGUUAUUAGAUUACAAAAUGUAACUUGAGAAUGUUUGCUAUAGUAUGACAAACCAAGGAAAUGCUUAUUUCAAUUUUAGAAAUGAGCUACUGACACUAAUUGGCAAACUUGUCCAGGAGGGUACAACUUACACAUACCAUUCACUGGUAUUUUCUUCUGGAAGUUAAGAUUUAUAACACAUUAAAAAUGAGCACAAAAGUAAUUCAUGAAUAAUUGAACUUUUUUCUCCAGGCUGUUAUGCCUUGUAGAGAAUAUUUAAGGAGUCUCCCAGGAUAUUAUUUCUAGUUACAUAUAAGUGAAAAAUACAUCCACAAGUCCUGAUAUUAAUGUAUGAGAACAUCAGCAAACACUUCAGAUGACCUACAAAAUAAUUUAGUAUCCAUGCAUUUUACCUCUUCAGUUCAUAUAAACCAAAGAACAGAGCAAACAGGUGCCCAUAUGAGUCAGCCCAUGACAAUUUUAACUGGAUAAUAGAUGGGUUUAUCCAUGGUAACCACAGAUUUGGUUACAAAGUGGACCAACAUCACUGUAGGUGUUCUGAAUUUAUAUUAGGACCAAUAGUUCGCUUCCUUAGUUUCUGAAAAACUUGCACAAGCUAAUGUACAUGUGAGCCAGCACAGGAUCCAUGGAUGCAUUUUGGAGAUCUGUGUCUAUUUCCCUGGAGGAAAAGCUAGUGCCAUGUUUCCCUGUACAGACAUAUCCAUUUUGGGCUUUCUGGAAGACAGAUGUAGUAGCUGCACAAUACAACUCUUUUUUUAAAAAGUCCACUCUUGCUUUGCAAAAUUACUAUACUACUGAGUCAGUCUGGAACUAAACCUGUCAACUGUGUGCAAGUGUGCUCUCAGGAGAGAUGAUGACAGAAAUACCUGAACAUUCUCAUAACUGAUUCUAGGUAAGGAAAUCUCCAGUAUAGCAAACCUAAUGCUGGUAAUGUUUUUUUAUUUUGUGCUGCUCUUUUCCUGACACAUUCCUUGUAGUGCAGCGUAUUUUAAUAAGCACCUACUCAUCUAAUAAGUUCCAUAAAGAGGUCGUGUUCAGUUCUCAUGCUGGCAUAUCACUGUGUCAUGCAUCAAUGAAAAAAAUACUGAUAAGAUUCUUGUAAACUGGAACAUCUGUAAACUUUAGUUGUGUGUAUGGGGCACUUCAGCUGCUUUUAGGAAUUGCAGUUCCAGUAAGUGUAAUUUUUUCCAUCGUUGAUGACACUUGGGGUGGGAGGGAGUAUCUCCUUAGGGGUGAUGCUGUAAUGAAUGCACUUCCACAGGCCUGCAGCAACAGACAUUGUUAACUGCAACCACAAUGCAAACUGUAUGGAGCUGUUCCAUCUCAACGGUACAAAUCACGAGAUGGGGACCCCCUUAAGAAGAACAUCCGUAAGCAACAGCACUGAGGAAUGAAAAAUAAAAUCUGCCCAGAUGUUAUUUGUAUAACCAAGAAAAGAGAGAGAUAGUUUUAAAAGCUAUUACAUGGAAUGCAUAAAUACAGGCAAAAGAACUUGUUGUGUGAUGAAACCAGCCACAGACCUGGUGACACUGUAUCUGGCACAUAACCUAAUUGCAGGCAGCAGUUCUUUUAGAGAAAAAUGUAUAAAGAAACAUAAUAGGAAGGACUAUAAUCCAAGGUACUUUCCUCCCAGGCCUUGACAAAACCAAUCAUGUUUGAUUUGGAAUCAUGUUUGAUUUCCUGCUCAUUUUUCCAGCAAUUUCUAGAGAAAGCUGAGAAGAUUUUCUUCAAGUAACAAAUAAAACUCAUAAUGAUGAUUUACUAAGCAGAAAUAUCUACAUGACACUAAAGACAGAAUGUCAUUUAACAAACUGGAACAGAAUCUUGUUCACUAUAGAAUCCUUUUUUCUUUUUAACCUAUGAGGUAAUAACAUCACUCUGAGUUUCCAUGUAAUUUUUGAUAUAAAUUAGUUGCUAAAAAAGGAUAAAUAUUCAGAUAAUCAAAUUGAUAUUUUGUUCAACUCUGAUUUUCCUGAUUUAGGUACAAAAUCUCAGAGCAAUUUUUUUUUCAACAGCAGUUUCCAGUAUUUUUUUGUAAAAACAUAUAGUUAAGCUGCUUGAAGUAUUCUAAUAAGAUGGUUUUAAAGUAUAUUUUGAAUCUUUAUGAACAAGAACUUCAAGGAAAUUAGUCUGUAAAAAAUGAACAAAUUGACUAGAUACACAUAAAUAUAUUUACCUAAAAAAGACUUGUCUAGUUUUCAGACUUUAUACAUAAUUUUUCAGGGAAUAAUAACUACUAAAAAGAAUAUUUAUGUGAAGCAAAUUAAUUACAUCACAACCAGCUGGUUUGACUGACAUAGAAACUAUUGCCCUACAGAUUUUUAAACAGAAAUGAUUGAGACUAAGCAUAUGGGAUUUGUGUUUGGAUUAACUGCAAAUUUUCCCAUCAAAACUCAGCUGUUAUUUUCAACCAUUGUGACAUAAUUCCAUAUUAUUUGCAAUAAUUACUUACCAAUCUUUCUAGAGACUACCAGCUGCAAUCUAUUUCCUUCAGAACUGCUGUUUCAGAAAACCUGCUAUUUCCAAACUUGCAGUCAUAUAACUGGGAAGGGUAAUUGGGAACACAAACUGAAUACAGCUAGUGGAAGAAAAGCUCCUGUAAGGAAUGGUAUGGAUGGGGCAUGAAUUGGUAUUCCUCCCUCUGAAUCUGUGGAAACAUUACACUGCAUAGAUGCGCCAGUGUUUUGGAUAAAAGUAGAAGUUUAUGUGCCUGAUCCCAGUGGAAUUUCCCCACAAUACAGGAGUGGUUGCUAUGCCACUGCCUCUUUUAAUGUGGGUACUAUGCUUGUAGUGCUCUGGAUCCCUGUAGUGCUGAAAGAAACGUGAAGCCUCUGAUUGUAUGAAUGUAACAUAGCGUACAGGCCACAAAUGAAGAAAAAAUUUGACUCAAAGUUCAAAACUGAUUUAGAAGAAAACAUUCCAUUCUACUAGAAUCUCAUCCCAGGAUUCUUGUACUCUGCUAAAGGCAAUGAAGUCACUGACAAUGAAGUUAUUAACUGAAAUAGAGAGUAGAACAGAACUAAUUGAUAAUUAUAUAUAAUUUACAUUGAUUUUUAUAAUGUGAAAUACUACUGACUUUUCUGAGAGGGCUCUUUGUGUCAAGAUAAAUAUAAUAAACCAAAACCUGAAAAACUUCUGUCACUACCUCAUUUUUGGAUUACACUUAUCUCUAAAUCACAUCUAACCCCCCUUCCAAUCCUCCUUUAAAAAAUAUGUUGUAUCUUUCACAACAGACCCUGGUUCUGAAGAAUAUGAUUGAAAUUUCAAAUACUUCAUACUGAUGUUUCAACAUCUAUUCAAAUUAAUAAAAAAAAAAAGUAAUAAAAGUAAUAAAAGAAGAAAGGUAAUGCUAAUAUAGGAAUCUAAUUUAUAUUGAUUAGGCUUUCAUAAACCUCUAAUAUGUAUAAAAAUUACAAAAUAAAGAGAGCCUAUAUGCCCCCCAUCCUUGGAAGUCCUCGAGUCAGGCUGGAUUGGGCCCUGAGCAAUCUGGUCUAGUGGGUGGCAUCCCUGUCCACAGCUUGGGGCUUGGAACUAGAUGGCCUAAGUUCCCUUCCAACUCAAACCAUUCCACGAUUUUAUGAUUUGAUAGUAUAAUUCUUGAAUCUGACAUGGAAAACAGAAUAAAGGUAACAAAGAGCACUUUGAUAGCAUUGGAACUUAACUAAUGAAUACUCAGCUUUGCAUCUUCAAUGUAAUCUUUGUGACAGAUUUCUUCCAUUUACUUAUUGCUUAAUUUUUUUAAAAAAAGUGCCUUUCCAUGAACCUGAUGCUCUGCUCUUUACCUCGUCACAAGUGUGCACAGUGAGCAUAAAACCUUAUCAAACAGGCAUCUUUGCAUUUUAUAAGCAAUUAGCAGAAUAAAGUACAAAGCAGGAAGAAUCCAGCAGGAAGAUAAAUACGAAGCUGCACUUAAAUAAUUACCUGUUUUGUACCUGGCUCUGCCUGCAAAAGCAAAACCACGGAGGUGUUCUCUAAUUCUUACCCAGCAAAUUGCACUUAAGCUUAUUAAAAGAUAAUGUGGAAACAAGCAGUUUUAAUGGAUUCAUCCUAUUCUCCUGGAGGCGAAGCAGUAUCAAAUAUUUAGUUUAGAACAAAUGCACUUGACCGUAAGAGGAAAUUUACCUCAGCAUCUAUAGGAGAAAAAGACACAAGUGAAUCUCCAUUAGUGGAACAGUCCUGAAAGUAAAAGACUGAGUCUUAAACCUAAGAAAACAGAGAUUAGGAGAAGAACAGCUACUGUGUGAGGAAAGCUUUAAAGGAGUGUCUUUAUGGGCAAGAUUAAAAAUAGCAUACAGGUUGCUUGUAAUUUUUAAUUUUCUUUAACUCAAAUAUUUUAUUCAAGUUGAUAAAGAAAUAUAUUUCAUUUCAAGAAAGCUGUUAUUAGUUACUGUUUCUCAAUGAAAGAAGUCCAAAAUGUAACUGGAUUCAUUGUGUGAUUAGCUCACAGAACGCAGGAAGAGGUGCAGCACCUACAUUCCACUGCUCCUGUGUGAGAAUUAUGCAGCUCCACUCUGACAGAGAUAGGGGGAAGAAACUCCUCAAGCAAACAAAAGGAUGAAAGUUUUCCCCAACCAGCAGAUGCAGAACUGCACUAAACAAUGCAGGUCCUUCAAGGGACUGUCUUGAGAGGAAAAAGUCACAUUUUUGCUCAGAGGUUUUAUUUGUUUGCGUUUUUAUUUGUUUUUCUUCCCCAGCCAUAAAAUUAGAUCAGACAAAAGAUAUAACUCCAGCUUUUGUAAAAAUGUGGAAUGAAAUAAAGUGGUAUCAUCUUACUGGUAAAGAACCGUAAUCAAGGACAAGAAGAAAGAAGCAGCAAAAUAUUCUUCUGGGUUGAGAUACCUAUAAACUCUGAAGGAAGUCUUGCCUGCCCCUGCUGCUACAGGUGAUAUACAGCCCAUCCAGCUGAACAGAACACUUCCCCCUUCACCUCACUGGUGUGUGGAAAGGACAGGGUCAUGUGAGCUGUAAAUAACCCAUAAUUAUUAAUCAAUACUCUCUGAAUUGCCAUGAGACCACAGAGGACUCUUAAUUCCUCAGGUGUCUGAAAAGAUAAGCAUGGAAUACAUUUGUUGAAAAGUGCCAAUGCAGAAAUACAACCGACUAAAAUAAAAAGGAUUCAUACUUUGAUAGUGAUGAAACCUUGCAUUCUUGUGGAUGCUGCCUUCUUGUCCUUUCCAAAACCUCAGUCUCACCUUCCUUCACCUCUGCAGCCUCCCUCUAAGCCAAGACUAUAUCUUAAGGGGAACUUUGUAAAUUGUAAAUUUGGAGUGAAAAUAGACUUGAAAUCUGCCACCAAAUGGCAUGACCUUUCUCUGGGCAGCAUAAGCCUUUUUGGUUCUUUUUCUAUGCUGUCUCUGUGCUUAGCAUCUACUCAUGGACCUGCCUCUUCUCUUUCAAAUCCCUUUAUUGGUUUCCGUCAUGGAAGAACUAUCUGUCAGAGAAACAGGAAAAUACUAUCUGCUUAAGCACGGAAGACAACAGCAAACUUGGAAAGCAAGCCUACACUAAAUGCAUAAAAUGGUGGAAUGACUCUCUCCUUUUCCUAUUUUGGUAAGGCUUUCAGAAUCUUAGCUUGGCAGCAUGGAGACUGUCUAUUGCUGUAUUUACACAGCAGCAAACUAAUUUAUGGCCUGAUUCUGGUCUUGACUUCUGGCCACUACCAGAAUUAGAUUAUCAUAAUAACAGCAAUUAGGAUGUUCUCUUUCUAACAGACUGGACAGCUUCAGACAUUUGAUCUGACCUAUUUGAAAGUUGGAGAUAUGAAAGAUAUGAAAAAAGACAUUUCUGAGGACAAAGACUAAAAAAAGAUACUUUGCAUGUCUAAUUUCAGCUUAUUACUCUCUCAAUCUUUUAACUUAUGCAUCUUCAUACUUGUAAAGGAAAAGACUUCCUACCAUAUGAAGUCAGUAAUAAAUCUUAAGCGCUGCUGGUGAAAUUUUCUCUCUGUCUUCAUUCAUUUGUGGGAUAAAUAUGGAAAAAUCGGGAGAACAGACAGUACAAAAAUACUACCAUCCUGUAAGAUCAGAUGAUUGUGUAAACCAAAUGCCAAACAACAAUCUAUAAUGUAUCAAGCAAAACACUGAUGCUUCAUGAAUAGCCUGCAAAGAAGAAAAAAAACCCAAAGAGACCAAAUCUAAUGAAGACAAUUCUCAAAGAGAAACAUGUGAUACCUUCUUCACGCAAAAUCUAUACAUUAAAAUAAUCCAUUAAGUCAGAAAAAAAAAUAUAACUGGUGUGAACUCAAUUUGUUAAAGUUUGCCUAAAACUUUUAACACUAUGCAAAGACUAAAUAUUUCAAUUAACUUAGAUUGGAAGAAAAUCUAGAAUGAAAUUAUGAACUCAAUACCAGAUUUUAGUACAAUUUUGUUUCCAAGGCAUGUCAGCUUGGCACAGUGUAGCCCUGAUCUUGGCAGCUGUGGAGACCUGAACUGUGCUUUGCGAUGUCCUUUCCUCCCUCAUCAAAAAUCCGAGCCGAUCCCCAAUGCCAAUUUGCUGCCUUGGUACUCACAGAGACCUGGAUUUGCUCUUCUCUAGCCAAAGGCCACUGCCAUGGCAGCUGCUGUUGUCUCUGACUUCUCCAUGUCACAGCAGCAGCCUCCUGGUUGGCAAGGACCAAAGGAGAAGAGAAGGCAGAGGGCGUGUGGUGCCUGCUGGUGCCCCUCACAGGGCUGCUGGGUUGUUCUGCAAGAGGAGGUGGGCAGAGGACACUGUUUGAGCAGCAGUUCUGCAGUGCACACAUGCCCCGAGCAGAUCCAGGAGGAAUUCAGCUGUACAGGGAGAGGAGAAAGCCUGAGCAGCCAUUCUGAACUGCGCUCAGGAAAAAGGGAAAAGGAAUGGAAAGUUGGAUGCUCCCGUAUUUGCUGUCUUCCUAUUUCCUGAAUUUAAACUGAUGGGUCUGGCUGGAUAUAUUUGUGAAUACAUAAAGUGGGUAAAACCAGAAAGAGGGCCUCGGAUGAGCUAAUCUAAUCUUUUUUAUCACAUGAGCAAUCCUUUUGCAAACAAUUCUGGACCAGUUCAUUGCUUCUUGAUUGGAUGCAGAAAGGAAUCAACUUUGUAACACAAAAGAUUCUGUUUCAGGAGAUUAAUACUAAAUUGGAGUAGGGAAAGAUUGCAAUCACAGCCCUGGACACUAGGUAUGAACAGAUGGUAGCCUACGUUAAUAACUUGGAAGGCAAGAGUAGCAUAGCAGAAUGCAAUGCAUUUUAAUGAACUCCAUUAAAACCAUGAGGACCAACUGCGAACAUAUUUAAGGGCUUGCUUUUAAUCUUACAGAAUUUAAAGAAAAAAAACUUAUUUCCAUCAAAAACUGAGUUAAACCCAGUUUGUAGAAUAUCUAUGGAAAUAAUUAAUAAUUCAAAUCCCAGCAAAGCUGGGUAGAGGAUCAGCACACUGAUCUAUAUUUUGUGACUA
This is a long non-coding RNA of Corvus hawaiiensis (hawaiian crow), 10641 nucleotides long. RefSeq lists it as uncharacterized. Lineage: Eukaryota; Metazoa; Chordata; Aves; Passeriformes; Corvidae. The record is from RefSeq and is a predicted model, not a curated record. The transcript has 5 exons.